Molecule: non-coding RNA, 170 nt
Filed under: Myxococcales bacterium
Lineage: Bacteria; Pseudomonadati; Myxococcota; Myxococcia; Myxococcales
Description: 6S RNA
Rfam family: 6S / SsrS RNA
About the family: E. coli 6S RNA was the first non coding RNA to be sequenced, but its function was unknown until recently. It consists of 184 nucleotides that fold into an extended hairpin structure with a large single-stranded internal bulge.
Source: RNAcentral
CGGCCGCUGCCCGUGCCGUGAAAAAGCUCUUCCUACUGAUCGUUCAACCAGGGAAUCGCCACUGUUCGUGGGUGCGCAGGCCCGUCCGGCGGGAAGCCCGAAGCGAUUACUUGCGAUGCCCACCUGCUGCGGUAGGGGUUGAGCUUUCGAAACCGCCGGGCAGCGGCCCU